ACCGGGCUGCAGUAGUCCUGGCCCCCAGUUCCUGACCUCUCCGGCAGACAGGCAUCUGUUCCUCUGGCCCCAACCCCUCAGCCUCUGGACGCAGACAUCGGAACUUUCCCUCCCAUCUCCCUUUCUUUUCAGGAAUUUAGGGGCCCAGAAUGCCCUGAAUCUGGGGGUAGGGGGUGGACCCCGUGCACGAAGGGGCGGGGUAGCAAACGCCAGCAAUUGGGGCAGAAGUCUGGUGGCCUAUCUCACCCUCACCCACUCCCUGCUCCCCAGCUCGCCUCCCCUCUCCUCCCCUUUUCUCUCUCCAGCCAGGUCUUGGUUGGGCCCGCCCUGGUCACACAGACUUCCCCCAGUUGGUGAUGGGGCUGAGGUCAGUGGGGUUGGGAUGUUGUAGGCGCGUCCUUCACUGACUCGCUCCGAGGUGGACUCCUGGUACUCUCCUGUCUGGAUCAAAGAGUUUCUUAGCUGGCCUUCAGACAGGUUGUCGCCCCUUUGAUUCCGAGAGCUUGGAGGAGAGUAGACAGCAGGGGACACGGAGGCCAAGAAAAAGACCGGUGCACAGAUCCAGGCAGGGCCGGACUGGUGACCGAGACAUUUAUCCCAGGCGGGUGCUACCUGGGCUGCACUUCCCGGGAGUGAAAGCAAACAGAACAUCGGAACAUCCACCGCAGAAUGAAUUGCAGAUUUCCUCAGGAGUUAGUGGACCUGUAAGAAGAAAGUCAUGGAAUCCCUUGAAGAAUUAUCAGAGGACGAGGCCCCCAAAGAACACCAAGUUUCCUCAACCCUACCCUGGAAGCUCAAUACCAAAGAGAUUCGGGCCACCAAGACUCACAACUACUUUACUCAGACCAAAAGAACUGAGAACAUUUUGGUCCAAGUUGCCUUCUCUGUUGGGCUAAGCAGCAUAUGGCGUUUCCCUUACCUAUGUCAUCGGAACGGAGGAGGAGUGUCUCAAAGCUGAUGAAGCUGAUCGACAAGGGGGUGCUGCCACAGGAUGUCAAGCCCCCAGAAGACAUCCUGCUCCUGCCCACCAUGGACUACCUAGACUGGAUCAGCAACCUCCCAGGACACCUCCAGCACCAGGUCAUCCACUUCUCCCCAUCCUGCAGCAUCAAGGCGCAAAAGGAAAAGGUGUGUUUGUGGGGGCAGGUGGGUGCUUCCCAACAGCCCCAGAGGCCCCUGGGAAAUGUAUUUCCCAGGGGCCUUGAGGGCUAUCUACAUACCUUCUGAGGCAGGUAACAGAAUUACUCUUCCACCACCAUUUAGUAUGUGCCAGGGCCUUUGCUAAAUUUUCACUCUAAUUCUCACGUCAACUCUAGGGUCUCUAUUUAUUAGAGGAGGAAACUCAGGUGGAAACUUAAUAGGUGAUGCUCAUACAGCUUAUGAAACCAAAAAGGGCAAACACCCAACACUUUGGCCAUCCACCUACCACUAUGCCUCUCUCCUCUGCCUGAGACAGAUAUUGCUAAUCGAUCACUGCACCAUUCCCCCCCAAUCCAGCCCCACCACUGCCUCAGAGCCCUUCUCCCCAACAGUUCAUGGAAGGCCCUGGCCUGGCAUUUGCAGCCUUCUCCCAAGUCGUCUCAUUGUUCCCUGGUGCCUCUUUCUGGGCCAUCCUCUUCUUCAUAGCCCUGCUCAUCAUAGGGCUGAACAACUUGAUAAAUAUCUUGGAAGGCAUUGUCUUUCCCCUCCAGAACUCCAUCUCCAUCUUCAAGAAUUACCCCAGGAUGCUCUCAGGUACUAUGGAUUCUCACCCCAGUGACCACCUUGCCCCUAGUGCCCCUCUUCACUAGGCCAUCCCUAAUCUCCUGGGCUCACUUUGACCCCUGACCCAGCUACACAUAGACCUCAGUGUGGCCAAACCUGCCUCUGCCUUAGCGAUCAUCUGCUUGGGAGGUUUUCUGGGCAGCCUCGUCUUCACCAGUCAGGCCGGCAGCUACGUAAUGUCCUUGUUUGAUGACCACCUGGUCCCGCUGACCCUUGUCGUCAUUGUGGCCUUCCAGAACAUGGCCCUGACCUGGAUCUACGGAGCUAGGAGGUGAUGUUCAAGCCUCAGGGGACCCCACCCCGGGUCUCUGAGGAGAGCUGGGGCAUGGUCUACUCCUUCAGUCCUUCCCACAGCAGAGGGUCCAGCUGAGAGCAGGAGGGAGUGAUCUGAGGGGAGCUGGGUGGGUCCUGAUGGAACAAGCAGUCAGGACCAAGGGGACUCAGGUUCCCCUGCCAUUGGCCAGUUGGGCUAGUCUGAAGGCAGAGGGCUGGGAGCAGUGUACCCCCUCUGGAUGGGAGGAUUCCCACGGGGAGGCCAGAUGCAGAGCCCAACCUCAGGGAGUGCCUGGCAGGACCUGACAGUCCCUAAGUGUUGAGAACCUGUGAGAGAACCAGGGGACUGGCGGGCCUACCCUCCCAAGGGCUCCAGGCCCUGGUGGCCAGAGGAGGGCUCCUUCCCAGACGUCCCUGCCCACUGCCCCCAACCCAGGCUCAGGGAAGAAAUGUUCAGAGAGCUGGGCCGCCCUCUGUGGCCCUUCUGGACUUUCCUGUGGUGCUACGUGACCGUGCCAGGGCUGCUGGCCCUCCUCACCGUCUGCCUCAUGCAUCUCUACCAGGGGGCACACCUCUACUACACUGCCUGGAACAGCAGUGGGGUGAGAUUGCCCUACCCGGGCCUCCCACCUGGACUUUCGGGACCCGUUGUCCAAAUGCCCCCAACAAGCCCCUAAGUCUGGGCUCCUCCCAUCCCCAGGGACCGUCUGGCCAGCUUCCCAGUCCCUGGGAAAUCUGAUCCCCAACAUCACAUGGACUGAACCCCCCCCCCCCACCGCCUCUUCCUCCCACCUUGCUGCCCUCUCUCUCUGCCCUCAGAGCCAGGAAGUAAAACAGCCCUACCUGCACAGGACCCUGGGCUGGGUCACCUUCUUCAGCACCCUCACCUUGCUGCCAAUCCCAGUCCACCCAUUUCAUCAUUGGUGGUCCCUCCAGGACUACACUGCCCCUGGUUCCUUUGAAAAGCUACUGUCCAAAAAGACUACCUUUGUGUCCCCCAAGCCCUUACAGUGGCCUAAGCAGCACUCGGUGAAGUCCAGCUUCACCCCCCAGGACAGAAGCAGAGAGACCUCAUCUAGAGAGUUAAGUCUGUCCACCAGGGGGUGGAACCAGGACUCCCAAUGGCUCAGCCCAAUCUUGAGUAGGAGUGAGAGCUCUUCCUGGUUCAGCCUGCCUCUCCCAGCCUCCCUGACAUCUGCCUUGUCCACGAGGAGUGUCAGCGCCCCCGCCUCGAGGCGGGCGACCCCAGCCUCAACAACCAUAGACAGCACGCAACAAGGGCAGGAAGACCAUGAAAAAAAUCCACACAAGAAAUCUGUUCAGUAACUAGCGACACACCCAUUUUCUCCAAGGAAGCAUCUCUGUCCAGUAACUGGUGGCAUUAGUGGCAUAGCUACAGAAACAGUUGGUUCUGCCAGAAAGGAGGGGCAGGGGCACGUGGAAAACUUGCCUAGCAACCAGUGACAUCACUCAUUUGACUUUGGAAGGAAAAAGACAACCUGGGAACUCUUUUCUCCCCUGGAAUAUUACUGCUUCUGCUAAGUGGAACCCUGCUCUGGGAUUGAGGAACUCAGAAGAAGAAAUCAACUCAGCUACACAUAGGGUUAGACCUGGUGCCCCCUCAUCCCCCUGUGAGGCGGGGGCACCAUGCUGGCACGACGGGAUGGGCCUCACAGCACUUUCCAGGACCCAGCCUUCUCAGCUAUCACGGACAGUGUUCUCUCCAACACCCCACCUCCACCACCAAACUGGAUCACUAGGGUGGCUGACUUCUCCAGGGCUGCCCUCUUGGAAUGAGGCUGAGACAGCAAUGUUGUGGGUCAAUAAAUGGGUUCUUUGGGACCCCAUGCACAGGCUGUGGGCACAGUGUUCUUUUGGUGAGCAGCCCAGAUGUCAGCCUCCUCCCACGUACACCAACCUCAGGCAAACUGAGUGUCCAGUCUGGUGACCCCAAUUUCCCUCUGCCUUUGGGACACAAGUAUGAGCCCCUAGACCCCUCCUUGUCCUGGAGUUGAGCCAUGCCAUGGUAGAACCUUGCAGCAAUCAGAAUCACCCACUCUAGAAAGUGUGCUCAUCUCUAACUCAAACUUGGUCAUUGGUGACCAUACUAAAUCUAUCCCGUAACUCACCUCUCACUACUUCUACCAAGAGGGCAGCAUGCCUGGAGCACUUAGACCCUCUCUAGCUGGCUGGCAUUGCUUCGUUCCCCCUUGGAGAGGGUCCCCUCACCCACUUGAGCACCGAGAGGGGGGUCGCCUGGUUUCGGUGGGCUCGGGACCAAGGAAUCUUGGGGAACUUGAGCUUAUUAGGGUUUCCUGUGGGAGCAGGUAACACCGCUGUGCUGCUUUGAAUGUCAAAUGGAGUUGAGGCAACUCGGGAUGGAGGCACCGGGGCCCCUGGUAGAAGACACACCCCUUAGUGACAUCCUGGGCAAAAACUUGUCUCCCACUCCCUACUUGCAAAGGACAUGGCCUUGAGAAUCAAUGUCAGCUUCCAUCGCCACCCACCCUGGUUCCCAGUCACUUCCCAAAUCUUCGCCUGCUUUUUCACACCUUUUAUUUACCUCAAAGGCCUUGAAACACU
Camelus dromedarius (Arabian camel) is the source of this 4620-nucleotide long non-coding RNA. RefSeq lists it as uncharacterized. The transcript is spliced from 3 exons. The record is from RefSeq and is a predicted model, not a curated record. Lineage: Eukaryota; Metazoa; Chordata; Mammalia; Artiodactyla; Camelidae.